CGCAACACCCCUCGUGUACCUCUUUACCUCAUUCACCUCCAAGCGCCGGUGCUAGGGUUUCUGGCCUGCCACUAUGCCCGUCCGCCGUCGUGCCACCGUCGCGGAUCUCCUUCCCGGCGGUACCUCCCGCUUCGCCGUUGUCUUCACGCUCCUCUCGGCCUACCGGCGCCAUGGCCGCCCUCCCUCCUAUUCGCAUGUUGUCGGCGAGGCUUCUCCUGUUCCUCUCCGAGAACCGCCGGUGCGGCUGCCCCAGUCUCCAUCUAUUCUCCACCCUUGCAUCCCUCCGCUCUCUAUCCCUCUACCACCCCAUCGCCAUCUCUGGCUCCUUGGUUCACUCAUAGACCACCCCAUCGCGAUCUCUGCCUCCUUGAUUCACUCAUAGAGUUCCAAAGGAGAGGCAACAGAAUGGAUCUGGCUAAGCUCCUCCUCACGUCGUGCACCUCAGCAAGUGCUCAUGCCGAUGUGUUCCUCUUGAGUGAAUUGUCAAUGAGUUUUUAAAGCUUGAAUCUCCCUUGGAUGAUUAACAUGUUUGGUUGCUGAAUUGAUUGGGAUUCAGGAAAAAUUACCAAACCUUGAAUCUUUUUUGAGUGAUUUUCAUUUGUUUCUUUAAGACAAUAUAUCCAGUUGUUUCUGAUUGUCUUGCAUACUCACAGUGGACCUAAGAUUUUAUUGAUUUGACUCAGGCAGUUUGGAAGGUGGAUUAGCUAGGGGAGCAACCAAUAUGAAACUGCAGACUUGAAGCACUUCAAGCGGACCAUGACUUCCUCAUUGUUGCAAAUUCACCUGUGGUGCCCUUGACAAGCAGUGAAACCAUAAUUGUUCUAGCCAUAUCCAUUGGCUGAGUUGUUCUAAUGUUUGUACCGGCAACCCAUUUGCCAAGAAUCACUUCUCUGUGUUUUUGUUGCUAUCACAGACCAGCCAAUUCCGGGAGACAACUAGAGGGCUCUUUGGAGUGAAACUGCUGAAGAUUUUGAUGCAUAUAAAAACAAGUUCUGGACUAAAGCCUUUCAGCAAGUUAAGGGUAUGAAGUUUGUAUUAACAUAGAUGAUCCAAAGACCGUCGCCCUGCAUCAUAGGUUGAUUAUUUUAUUUUAUUUUUUGCGAGGAAUCAUAGGUUGAUUUUGCCUUGGAUUAGCAUGUGGUGUUGCAUGUUUAUAUGCUCUGCGUGUUAAUCAGCUGUUGGCAAGGCAUAUAGGCUGCAAGGUUCUCCACGACCUAUUUAACUUGGAAGCAAGAGAGGACGGUGAUUUGAGCCCAGUGAAGUUGAGAUGGCUACUGUGCAAAUCUGUCAGACUGUAAGUCCACAUGUGACCAUGAUGAAUAUACAUAAACUUGCUCAAAUUUAAGUAGGUUUGACUUAUGACAAACCUAGAACUUCA
Molecule: long non-coding RNA, 1378 nt
Organism: Triticum aestivum (bread wheat)
Lineage: Eukaryota; Viridiplantae; Streptophyta; Magnoliopsida; Poales; Poaceae
Exons: 3
Source: RefSeq, a predicted model, not a curated record